This 320-nucleotide ribosomal RNA is filed under the name uncultured eukaryote. RNAcentral describes it as "partial 18S ribosomal RNA". It matches the Rfam family "Eukaryotic small subunit ribosomal RNA", at positions 1470 to 1796 of the family's 1831-position model. The record is from RNAcentral.
CCCUUAGAUGUUCUGGGCCGCACGCGCGCUACACUGAUGCAUUCAACGAGUUUUUCCUGGUCCGAGAGGAAUGGGUAACCUUUUGAAAGUGCAUCGUGCUAGGGAUAGACUAUUGCAAUUAUUGGUCUUCAACGAGGAAUUCCUAGUAGACGUAGUUCAUCAGACUGCAUCGAUUACGUCCCUGCCCUUUGUACACACCGCCCGUCGCACCUACCGAUUGAAUGGUCCGGUGAAAUCUCGGGACGGCGGCUUGGUCGCUUGCGUCCGACUGCUGAAACUUGAUUAAACCAUAUCAUUCAGAGGAAGGUGAAGUCGUAACA